GAUGAACGCUGGCGGCGUGCCUAAUACAUGCAAGUAGAACGCUGAAGCUUGGUGCUUGCACCGAGCGGAUGAGUUGCGAACGGGUGAGUAACGCGUAGGUAACCUGCCUCUUAGCGGGGGAUAACUAUUGGAAACGAUAGCUAAUACCGCAUAAAAGUCGAUAUCGCAUGAUAUUGAUUUGAAAGGUGCAAAUGCAUCACUAAGAGAUGGACCUGCGUUGUAUUAGCUAGUUGGUGAGGUAACGGCUCACCAAGGCGACGAUACAUAGCCGACCUGAGAGGGUGAUCGGCCACACUGGGACUGAGACACGGCCCAGACUCCUACGGGAGGCAGCAGUAGGGAAUCUUCAGCAAUGGGGGCAACCCUGACUGAGCAACGCCGCGUGAGUGAAGAAGGUUUUCGGAUCGUAAAGCUCUGUUGUAAGAGAAGAACGAGUGUGAGGGUGGAAAGUUCACACUGUGACGGUAACUUACCAGAAAGGGACGGCUAACUACGUG
This 497-nucleotide ribosomal RNA is filed under the name uncultured bacterium. RNAcentral's name for it is "partial 16S ribosomal RNA". It matches the Rfam family "Bacterial small subunit ribosomal RNA", at positions 28 to 507 of the family's 1533-position model. The record is from RNAcentral.